RNAcentral lists this ribosomal RNA (403 nucleotides) under uncultured bacterium. Its description in RNAcentral is "partial 16S ribosomal RNA". It matches the Rfam family "Bacterial small subunit ribosomal RNA", at positions 30 to 526 of the family's 1533-position model. The record is from RNAcentral.
AUUGAACGCUGGAGGCAGGCCUAACACAUGCAAGUCGAGCGAGCGGCGGACGGGUGAGUAAUGUCUGGGGACUGCCCGAUGGAGGGGGAUAACUACUGGAAACGGUGGCUAAUACCGCAUACAAUCGGAUAACCCAUAUGGGAUUAGCUAGUAGGUGGGGUAAAGGCUCACCAAGGCGACGGUCUCUAGCUGUGCUGAGAGGAUGAUCAGCCACACUGGGACUGAGACACGGCCCAUACUCUUACGGAGGCAGCAGUGGGGAAUAUUGCACAAUGGGCGAAAUCCUGAUGCAGCCAUGCCGCGUGUAUGAAGAAGGCCUUAGGGUUGUAAAGUACUUUCUGUGGGGAGGCGUUACCCACAGAAGAAGCACCGGCUAACUCCGUGCCAGCAGCCGCGGUAAUUC